AGUGCCCGCAGGCGCCUGUGUAAACAAUAAAGCUGCCUCUUGCCUUUGCAUCCAGUGGCUCGGUCUUGGUUCUUGGGCGCGGGUCUCCCACCACGGAAGAUUCCCCCUCCCCCGGGAAUCUUACAGCUGGGGGCUCGCCCGGGAUUGGGGACCCCCGCCCAACCCAAUUACUGCCCACCGGGAGAUAGGGGACUCAGUUUGGGUCCGUCGACAUCAGACCAAGAAUCUGAAA
This is a long non-coding RNA of Jaculus jaculus (lesser Egyptian jerboa), 232 nucleotides long. RefSeq lists it as uncharacterized. The record is from RefSeq and is a predicted model, not a curated record. NCBI's taxonomy places the organism in Eukaryota, Metazoa, Chordata, Mammalia, Rodentia, Dipodidae. The transcript has 2 exons.